This 2269-nucleotide ribosomal RNA is filed under the name Tephrocybe rancida. RNAcentral describes it as "16S ribosomal RNA". The stretch from base 432 to 2269 matches the Rfam family "Bacterial small subunit ribosomal RNA". Lineage: Eukaryota; Fungi; Basidiomycota; Agaricomycetes; Agaricales; Lyophyllaceae. The record is from RNAcentral.
AUCGAUAUGAAUUUAAUUUUGGUUCUGAUUGAACGUUUUUCAGUAGUUUUAAGACAUGCAAAUCGUUGUUCCUAACAGUUUAUCUUUAUGUUUAUAUAAAUUAAAAAAAAAAUAUAAAUUAAAGAUAAAAAAAUAAGAAUAAGGUGUAAAGGUGAGUAUUUUAAAUUAGAUACCUUAUAGACUCCUUAAUUAGGAGAUAAUUUUAUUUCAAAAAUCGUCCCCUCCUGCCUCCUGCCUACGGAGGCAGGAGGCACCCUCCUUCGGCUUCUCCGAAGGGAGACCUUUGUCCCUCCUUACCUUUUUUCAAAAAAAAAGGAGAGGAGGAGUGCGAAGCAACUCCUUCGGCAGCCGUCCGUGCGAAGCAGGAGAAGGGGAGAGGAUGAUUAGAGAUACUUAUUAGGGAACUAUCACAGAGGCACCAGCUAGUCUGUCCUCCUUAAAUUUUUUUCUAGACCUGCACUUGUUCUUUCACAUUUGCCCUACCUGCUUCUGCUUCUCCGAAGGACUCCUUUUAAGGAAAGGAGUCCUUCGGAGAAGCAGAGGUAGAGGGUAAAGGACGGGGCAAGAGUAAUAAGGAAAGUAAAAUAUAAAUUAGCUAUUUAUAAAAAAAGGGAAAUUUUCUGCUAUAAGAUUCGAUUUAUUUUGUUUAAAGGUAGUUGGUGGGGUAAAUGCCUACCAAGCCGACGAUCAAUAGCCAUGUUUGAUAGAGCAGAUGGCCACAUUGGGAAUGGAAAGCCCCAAGUAGUGAAAACUACCAGCAGUCAAGAAUAUUAGUCAAUGCUCGCAAGAGUGAACUAGCUAACUGAAAUCACAUGAUCCAAUGUUUAUGUUGGUUAUUGUGAUAACGUAAGGGAAAAAAAUGAUAUUACCUUACUAUUAGUGUUGUCCAAAACUGGUGCCAGAAGACUCGGUAAGGCCAGAGACGCGAACGUUAGUCGUCCUAAUCAGGCGUAAAGGGUGUGUAGGCUGCUUUCAAAGUCAUAUCUUUCAAAAGCUCUUAUAACGAAGAUUUGUUUAAAGGCCGUAGAUUUAAACAUCUCCAAUUCUAAGGUAAAGAUAGGGUGAAUAAAAGCUAGAAUCAAAACGAGGAUAAGCCAAAUAAUACUUAGAGUAGGGUUGAUAUCCGUAGAUGCUAAGUGGAAUACUAAAAGUGAAAACUAUUUAUCUAGGACUGAUUGACGCUGAGAAACGAAGGUGAGAAUAGGAAAUAGGAUUUGAUACCCAGAUACCUCUCACUGUCAACGAUGAAUGGUGGUUUGUUAGUUUAUAUAAGAACUAGUAACGAUGCUAACGCGAUAACCAUUCCGCCUUGCGAGUACGGUUGCAAAACUGAAACCAAAAAAAUUAGUCGGUCUCGAAGCAAACGAAGUGAAGCAUGUUAUUUAAUACGAGAACACGCGUAAAACCUUACCAGUUCUUGCAUAUCCAAUCUUUAAUGUUAGGUGGUUCUAAAUGUCAAUUUAGUCCUAUUUAAGGUUAAAGAUUGAGUAGUUUCUUUUGCCUCCCCUUGCCUCCGGGUAAAAAAAGGCCAAGAAACUCGUUUACAGGUGUUGCAUGGCUGUCGUAAGUCCGUGCCGUGAGAAGUGAGGUUAACUCCACUAACGGACGAAAUCCCUGUUGUUAAUUUAUACUUAACAAUUAUUGAAUUUGACAAUUUUUCAUUUGGGGCUAAGACAAGCCGUUAUGGCCCUCAUGAACUGGGCUAUAGACGUGCCACGAAAACUUUUACAAAGUGACGCCAAAACCUAACCUCUAUACUAAUGCAAUAUUUUAGUUAAUAUUUAAGAUAGACUUUAAAUAAUAGGGUUUUAAGGAAUAGCUAAUCAUUAAAGAAAGUUAAAUAACCAAAUAUAUGGACGGAUUGCCGCCUGAAAUUCGGCGACAUGAAGAAGGAAUUUCGAGUAAUCGUUGAUCACUAGCGCAACGGUGAAGAAUGCAUUCGGGAUGAACUAACUGUCUGUCGCUGGGAAGAAGCUUGAAUUGGGGGAAACUGCCGCGAAGUUAUUAUUUUUUUAAGGCAAACCUAAUUUAAUAAUAUCAGCUAUUAUUUAUUAUUAAAUAAAUUAAAUUAAAUAUUUUUUAAUUUAAGGGCAGUUUUAUGCUAAGCUUUAAUUUUAGAAGUAAUUCUGGUUUAAAGUAUUAGUCAUUUAAAUAUUAAAAAAAAAACACCUUUCUUAAGAUAAUUAGUUUCAGUUAACCCUUUUAAGUAACAUCUCAAAAGUCAUAGCAAGGUAGCUGUACUGGAAAGUGCCGCUGGAAAAUAAAUAUU